RNAcentral lists this ribosomal RNA (866 nucleotides) under uncultured archaeon. RNAcentral's name for it is "bacterial SSU rRNA". It matches the Rfam family "Archaeal small subunit ribosomal RNA", at positions 70 to 921 of the family's 1478-position model. The record is from RNAcentral.
UACGAGUCACGGCAUACAGCUCAGUAACACGUGGCUAACCUGCCCUUGGGACGAGAACACCCCCGGGAAACUGGGGCUAAUUCGCGAUAGGUGAAGAACACUGGAAUGUGUCUUCGCCUAAAAGGCACUGCGUUAUGCUCGUAGUGUCGCCCAAGGAUGGGGCCGCGACCGAUCAGGUUGUUGGUGAGGUAAUGGCUCACCAAGCCUUUUACCGGUGCGGGCCGUGGGAGCGGGAGCCCGGAGAUGGGCACUGAGACAAGGGCCCAGGCCCUACGGGGCGCAGCAGUCGCGAAAACUUUGCAAUAAGCGAAAGCUUGACAGGGCUAUCCCGAGUGCCAUCCGCUGAGGAAGGCUUUUACCCAGUCUAGAACGCUGGGGGAAUAAGGAGAAGGCAAGUCUGGUGUCAGCCGCCGCGGUAAUACCAGCUCUUCGAGUGGUGUGGAUGUUUAUUGGGCCUAAAGCAUCCGUAGCUGGCUAGGUUAGUCCCCUGUUAAAUCCACCGAAUUAAUCGUUGGAUUGCGGGGGAUACUGCUUGGCUAGGGAACGAGAGAGGCAGACGGUAUUCCCGGGGUAGGGGUGAAAUCCUAUAAUCCCGAGAAGACCACCAGUGGCGAAGGCUGUCUGCUAGAACGCGUCCGACGGUGAGGGAUGAAAGCUGGGGGAGCGAACCGGAUUAGAUACCCGGGUAGUCCCAGCUGUAAACGAUGCAGGCUAGGUGUUUGGACGGCCACGUGCCGUUCUAGUGCCGCAGGGAAGCUGUUAAGCCUGCCGCCUGGGGAGUACGAUCGCAAGAUUGAAACUUAAAGGAAUUGGCGGGGGAGCACCACAAGGGGUGAAGCUUGCGGUUUAAUUGGAGUCAACGCCGG